CUAAAAAUAGAUGCAGAAUUAUUUUUUAUAGUCUCAAUAAAAAAUGUUUACUAAACUUGGGCUAUUGUUGUUUACUUAGAAAAUAUAAUUUUUAAAAUCAACCCUUUCACGCAUAAGUUACAAAUAUUUUAACUGACCCCUUGUUUCCAUGGCGACGCGUCAUGAUUGUCACGUGACACACCGCGGCCACAAUAACUAACAGAUGUAUCGCUAUUCGUUUUAUUUCGUUUUCAUUUUUUAUUAACAAAUAUUCACAAACAUUGACACGCUUACCAUGUCAACUAUUUGAUAUUCCGAUUCUUCGUUUAAAAACCUUUAUAAAUUAUCUUGAUCUAACGAGAUGAGCGCUGCAGUUCAGAGUCCUGUCAGCCGGAUUUAACGUUACAGCCAAACUGUCUCUGGUACAGCACUUGAAUUCCCCAGUUUCUCCCGAAAUACAUGAAACAGGAACAUGCCCCCAAAGCUGCAGGGUUCCCCACGGAGCCAACCUUUACGCUGCUGAAGUCAGAGGUCGUCCGUCCCAGAGGGAAACAGUGGCGACACCCCAGUGCCUGAGGAGACAGAGGCGGGUUGUCUUUCACUGAUGCCUCCCAGUUGUUUUGGGAUAUGGAUCUCAUGUGCACCUGUCUGAACCGACACUAUUUACCAUUACAACAGAUUUUGCCAUUAACAAGUCCAUCCAAGUCUAAAGGGGAACAACUGUUUCUAAGACAGAUUGACAGCAACUUUGGUGAUGUGUAGGAGGAUUCUUGUAAAGAAAAGGUUAGCAUGAAAUGGAUGGAUGAAUGUGUUGAUAUAUGAUCUGAUGAAUGCUGUAACCUUGCCAUGUCUGUUUUCUGACACAACCUCUGCUGGAAAGGGUUAAGGAGUCUCUUCCUUUGUUUUCUCUGACUGAUUAAUGGGGCAAGGCUGCUUGUGUUUGUAACACAUGCAUUUGGCUACUCAUGCCAUAGUCUUUAAAGAUGCCUCUGCAUUUAGCAGGCUUGCCCAGGCUUUGGAAAAUGAUACAUAGAUUAAACACACAUUUUUUUCUAGCAAGAAAAACACUCUCAAGCCCCUAUAGUUGGAGGAGGAAUCAAAACUAACAUAACAAUGAUUGGGAGUGUGGGGGACUUUGCCAAGACUACACAAACACAGAUUCAUAUCCUUCAUGCACUCUAUAACUUUGUGCUUGUGGAAGAGAACCAAAUGAGGAUCAAACAUGUAAAAACAAAAAAUAAGUAGGCGUAAAGCAAUAGUGCAAGUUUUUGCACUGUUGUAAGAUGAAGAAAACAGCA
This is a long non-coding RNA of Cyprinus carpio carpio, 1277 nucleotides long. The record is from Ensembl. Lineage: Eukaryota; Metazoa; Chordata; Actinopteri; Cypriniformes; Cyprinidae.